GUGGGGAAUAUUGGACAAUGGGCGCAAGCCUGAUCCAGCCAUGUCGCGUGAGUGAUGAAGGCCCUAGGGUUGUAAAGCUCUUUCACCGGUGAAGAUAAUGACGGUAACCGGAGAAGAAGCCCCGGCUAACUUCGUGCCAGCAGCCGCGGUAAUACGAAGGGGGCUAGCGUUGUUCGGAAUUACUGGGCGUAAAGCGCACGUAGGCGGACAUUUAAGUCAGGGGUGAAAUCCCGGGGCUCAACCCCGGAACUGCCUUUGAUACUUGGUGUCUGGAGUAUGGAAGAGGUAAGUGGAAUUCCGAGUGUAGAGGUGAAAUUCGUAGAUAUUCGGAGGAACACCAGUGGCGAAGGCGGCUUACUGGUCCAUUACUGACGCUGAGGUGCGAAAGCGUGGGGAGCAAACAGGAUUAGAAACCCGGGUAGUCC
Molecule: ribosomal RNA, 425 nt
Filed under: uncultured bacterium
Lineage: Bacteria
Description: partial 16S ribosomal RNA
Rfam family: Bacterial small subunit ribosomal RNA
Source: RNAcentral